GGGAGGCCAGUUCAGCAGGAAGGAACACUGCGGAGGUGCACUGAAGCAGAGAGGUGGGUUCGACUCCCAUGUCUCCCA
This 78-nucleotide transfer RNA is filed under the name Caudoviricetes sp. RNAcentral describes it as "tRNA-OTHER". Lineage: Duplodnaviria; Heunggongvirae; Uroviricota; Caudoviricetes. The record is from RNAcentral.